Molecule: ribosomal RNA, 459 nt
Filed under: uncultured bacterium
Lineage: Bacteria
Description: partial 16S ribosomal RNA
Rfam family: Bacterial small subunit ribosomal RNA
Source: RNAcentral
CCUACGGGUGGCAGCAGUGAGGAAUAUUGGUCAAUGGGCGAGAGCCUGAACCAGCCAAGUCGCGUGAGGGAUGAAGGUACAGAGUAUCGUAAAGCCCUUUUGUCAGGGAACAAAGGCGUGGACGUGUCCCCGGAUGAGUGUACCUGAAGAAAAAGCAUCGGCUAAUUCCGCGCCAGCAGCCGCGGUAAUAGGGGGGAUGCGAGCGUUAUCGGGAUUUAUGGGGUUUAAGGGGUGGGCGGGGGGGCUGUUAAGUCAGCGGGCAAAGCCCGGGGCUAAACCCGGGCCCGCCGUUGAAACUGGGAGGCUCGAGUUGGAGAGAGGUAUGCGGAAUGCGCGGUGUAGCGGUGAAAUGCGUAGAUAUCGCGAAGAACUCCGAUGGCGAAGGCAGCAUGCCGGCUCCACACUGACGCUGAGGCACGAAAGCGUGGGUAUCGAACAGGAUUAGAUACCCCUGUAGUC